RNAcentral lists this long non-coding RNA (456 nucleotides) under Canis lupus familiaris (dog). Its description in RNAcentral is "lncRNA (ENSCAFG00000038966.3, ENSCAFG00805028502.1, ENSCAFG00845015509.1)". The record is from RNAcentral. Lineage: Eukaryota; Metazoa; Chordata; Mammalia; Carnivora; Canidae.
AGAUAAAGUAGUUGAGCUAAUAGACAAUAUGAGUCUCUUCUUCCUGAGUCUCAGAAGGAAAUAAUUCUGCAGUAGGAGCCUUGGGAGAGAGAGAGCUAUAAAAACAGGUUCUGCUCUGAUGGGCAGACAUGGGGAGAGAGACUAUAUAAUUUUGUACAUUGAAUGAGGCUAAUUCAAAUAGUGUUAAUUGUCCCUCCACCACCAGUCAAGGUGAUGCCUUGAGACUCAGCACAACUCCGCUGGAUCUCCCCUGCCUGGAAUUGAAAGUGUUAGAAGCUGAAUGAUGUUUCAGGAGAAACAAUGAUCUUUGAUUUAGCUGUGUACUCCAUCCAUCCCAGCAUACCUUGGAGCCAGGGGCAGGAAAGCAAAGAAGGGGACAGGGUCAGUGUUCUAUUGUUCUGUGUCCUCUACAUUUGCACAUGCACAGAGAGUAUAGUGUUUAGAGAAGCAUGGUAG